GAGCCGUUGCGGCAGUGAUUCGCGGCCUAUCAGCUUGUUGGUGAGGUAGUGGCUCACCAAGGCGACGACGGGUAGCCGGCCUGAGAGGGCGACCGGCCACACUGGGACUGAGACACGGCCCAGACUCCUACGGGAGGCAGCAGUGGGGAAUAUUGCACAAUGGGCGAAAGCCUGAUGCAGCGACGCCGCGUGAGGGAUGACGGCCUUCGGGUUGUAAACCUCUUUCAGUAGGGAAGAAGCGCAAGUGACGGUACCUACAGAAGAAGCACCGGCUAACUACGUGCCAGCAGCCGCGGUAAUACGUAGGGUGCGAGCGUUGUCCGGAAUUAUUGGGCGUAAAGAGCUUGUAGGCGGUUUGUCGCGUCUGCUGUGAAAAUCCGGGGCUCAACCCCGGACUUGCAGUGGGUACGGGCAGACUAGAGUGUGGUAGGGGAGACUGGAAUUCCUGGUGUAGCGGUGAAAUGCGCAGAUAUCAGGAGGAACACCGAUGGCGAAGGCAGGUCUCUGGGCCACUACUGACGCUGUGAAGCGAAAGCGUGGGGAGCGAACAGGAUUAGAUACCCUGGUAGUCCACGCCGUAAACGUUGGGAACUAGGUGUGGGUCUCAUUCCACGAGAUCUGUGCCGCAGCUAACGCAUUAAGUUCCCCGCCUGG
Molecule: ribosomal RNA, 654 nt
Filed under: uncultured Actinomycetes bacterium
Lineage: Bacteria; Bacillati; Actinomycetota; Actinomycetes
Description: bacterial SSU rRNA
Rfam family: Bacterial small subunit ribosomal RNA
Source: RNAcentral